This 30-nucleotide ribosomal RNA is filed under the name Heteroxylaria oxyacanthae. RNAcentral's name for it is "Xylaria oxyacanthae partial 18S ribosomal RNA". The record is from RNAcentral. Lineage: Eukaryota; Fungi; Ascomycota; Sordariomycetes; Xylariales; Xylariaceae.
UCCGUAGGUGAACCUGCGGAGGGAACAUUA